AAGACAAUACUUUCAGGGAUCCUUUCUAUAGUGCAUUACGAGAGAAGUCUCUCUGAAUGUGUAGAGUACCAGAAACCAGGAGGAGGAAGCGCAGCGUUCUCUCCUGAGCGUGGAGCCAGCUCUUGGUGUUGCUUUAAUGCAAUUGCCAUUUGCCAUUGAUGAUUGUUCUUCUCUCCCUUUGGGAGAGUAAGAGGGAGAGAAAAAGA
Non-coding RNA from Otolemur garnettii (small-eared galago), 206 nucleotides. The record is from Rfam. NCBI's taxonomy places the organism in Eukaryota, Metazoa, Chordata, Mammalia, Primates, Galagidae.